GACGAACGCUGGCGGCGUGCUUAACACAUGCAAGUCGAACGGAAAGGCCCUGCUUUUGUGGGGUGCUCGAGUGGCGAACGGGUGAGUAACACGUGAGUAACCUGCCCUUGACUUUGGGAUAACUUCAGGAAACUGGGGCUAAUACCGGAUAGGAGCUCCUGCUGCAUGGUGGGGGUUGGAAAGUUUCGGCGGUGGGGGAUGGACUCGCGGCUUAUCAGCUGGUUGGUGGGGUAGUGGCUUACCAAGGCUUUGACGGGUAGCCGGCCUGAGAGGGUGACCGGGCACAUUGGGCCUGAGAUACGGACCAGACUCCUACGGGAGGCAGCAGUGGGGAAUAUUGCAGAAUGGGCGGAAGCCUGAUGCAGAAACGCCGCGUGCGGGAUGACGGCCUUCGGGUUGUAAACCGCUUUCGACUGUGACGAAGCGUGCGUGACGGUAAUGGGUCAAGAAGCACCGGCUAACUACGUG
Molecule: ribosomal RNA, 468 nt
Filed under: uncultured bacterium
Lineage: Bacteria
Description: partial 16S ribosomal RNA
Rfam family: Bacterial small subunit ribosomal RNA
Source: RNAcentral